RNAcentral lists this transfer RNA (76 nucleotides) under Rhodospirillaceae bacterium. RNAcentral's name for it is "tRNA-Val". It matches the Rfam family "tRNA". From Rfam's summary of the family: Transfer RNA (tRNA) molecules are approximately 80 nucleotides in length. Their secondary structure includes four short double-helical elements and three loops (D, anti-codon, and T loops). Lineage: Bacteria; Pseudomonadati; Pseudomonadota; Alphaproteobacteria; Rhodospirillales; Rhodospirillaceae. RNAcentral also lists the same sequence under 1 other name. The record is from RNAcentral.
GGGCGAUUAGCUCAGAUGGUAGAGCGCUUGCUUUACACGCAAGAUGUCGGCGGUUCGAUCCCGUCAUCGCCCACCA